UGGGGGAUUUUGCACAAUGGGCGCAAGCCUGAUGCAGCGACGCCGCGUGAGGGAUGAAGGCCUUCGGGUUGUAAACCUCUUUCGCUGGGUUGAAAUGCCAUGCUUUGGGUGUGGUUGAUUUGAACUGGUAAAGAAGUACCGGCUAACUACGUGCCAGCAGCCGCGGUAAUACGUAGGGUACUAGCGUUGUCCGGAUUUAUUGGGCGUAAAGGGCUUGUAGGUGGUUUGUCGCGUCUGUCGUGAAAUCCUGUGGCUUAACCAUGGGCUUGCGGUGGGUACGGGCAGGCUUGAGUGCGGUAGGGGAGACUGGAAUUCCUGGUGUAGCGGUGGAAUGCGCAGAUAUCAGGAGGAACACCGGUGGCGAAGGCGGGUCUCUGGGCCGUUACUGACACUGAGGAGCGAAAGCGUGGGGAGCGAACAGG
This 422-nucleotide ribosomal RNA is filed under the name Fusobacteriota bacterium. Its description in RNAcentral is "Fusobacteria bacterium partial 16S ribosomal RNA". It matches the Rfam family "Bacterial small subunit ribosomal RNA", at positions 355 to 776 of the family's 1533-position model. The record is from RNAcentral. Lineage: Bacteria; Fusobacteriati; Fusobacteriota.